GACAACACCACUUGGACACUCACCACACUGCCUGCUGGGCACCAAGCCAUCGGGAUCAAGUGGGUGUUCAAGCUGACGAAGGACGAGCACGGUGCCAUUGUCAAGCACAAGGCGUGCCUCGGCGCAAAGGGCUAUGUGCAGCGUGAGGGAGUGGACUUUGAGGAAGUCUUCACUCCGGUGGCAAGGCUGGAGUCCGUGCGGCUCAUCCUUGCCGUGGCUGCUCACCGCGGGUGGGAGGUACACCACAUGGAUGUCAAGUCGGCGUUUCUCAACGGCGACCUUAAUGAGGAUGUGUACGUCUCCCAG
This 306-nucleotide ribosomal RNA is filed under the name Triticum aestivum (bread wheat). RNAcentral's name for it is "partial small subunit ribosomal RNA". Lineage: Eukaryota; Viridiplantae; Streptophyta; Magnoliopsida; Poales; Poaceae. The record is from RNAcentral.